CCUUAAACGGACGAGGCCGGUGCGGGGAGGGCGGAGACUGGCCUCCCGUGCUGCGCGCGCGGCCGGCCUAAACCUUGGUCCCCCGUCGCGGGCUUCACGACAAGUGGUGGUUGAAACCCUCAACUCGAAUGCGAGUCGUGCCGGAACCCGCGGCCGGGGAGGCCGGACGACCCCCCAGCGAGCCCCUUCCCGAAGGAGCGCUUGCCACGACCGCGACCCCAGGUCAGGCGGGGCUACCCGCUGAGUUUAAGCAUAUCAUAA
Molecule: ribosomal RNA, 261 nt
Filed under: Rauvolfia densiflora
Lineage: Eukaryota; Viridiplantae; Streptophyta; Magnoliopsida; Gentianales; Apocynaceae
Description: partial 28S ribosomal RNA
Source: RNAcentral